CUGUUCGAGCGUCAUUACAACCCUCAAGCUCUGCUUGGUAUUGGGUCUUGCUAGCAAUAGCAGGCCUUAAAAUCAGUGGCGGUGCCACCUGGCCCUAAGCGUAGUAAAUCUCUCGCUAUAGGUGUUAGGUGGAUGCUUGCCAGAAACCCUCACUUUAAAAGGUUGACCUCGGAUCAGGUAGGGAUACCCGCUGAACUUAA
RNAcentral lists this unclassified non-coding RNA (200 nucleotides) under soil metagenome. RNAcentral's name for it is "partial contains internal transcribed spacer 2 and large subunit ribosomal RNA". The record is from RNAcentral.